Molecule: ribosomal RNA, 480 nt
Filed under: uncultured bacterium
Lineage: Bacteria
Description: partial 16S ribosomal RNA
Rfam family: Bacterial small subunit ribosomal RNA
Source: RNAcentral
GACGAACGCUGGCGGCGUGCUUAACACAUGCAAGUCGAACGAUGAAGCAAAGAAUUGCAGCUUCGGCAGAAAUUCAUUUCGGAUUAGUGGCAGACGGGUGAGUAACGCGUGAGCAACCUACCUCUUACAAAGGGAUAGCCUCGGGAAACCGGGAUUAAUACCAUAUAACAUUGCGACGAAGCAUUUCGAUGCAAUCAAAGCUACGGCGGUAAGAGAUGGGCUCGCGUCCCAUUAACCAGAUGGUGAGGUAACGGCUCACCAUAGUAACGAUGGGUAACCGGCCUGAGAGGGUGAACGGUCACACUGGAACUGAGACACGGUCCAGACUCCUACGGGAGGCAGCAGUGGGGAAUAUUGCACAAUGGAGGGAACUCUGAUGCAGCGACGCCGCGUGAGUGAUGAAGGAAUUCGUUUCGUAAAACUCUGUUCUAUGGGAAGAAAAGGACUGUACCAUAGGAGAAAGCGCCGGCUAAAUACGUG